Molecule: ribosomal RNA, 468 nt
Filed under: uncultured bacterium
Lineage: Bacteria
Description: partial 16S ribosomal RNA
Rfam family: Bacterial small subunit ribosomal RNA
Source: RNAcentral
GACGAACGCUGGCGGCGUGCUUAACACAUGCAAGUCGAACGGAAAGGCCCUGCUCUUGUGGGGUUCUCGAGUGGCGAACGGGUGAGUAACACGUGAGUAACCUGCCCUUGACUUUGGGGUAACUUCAGGAAACUGGGGCUCAUACCCGGUAGGAUCUCCUGCUGCAUAGGGGGGGAUGGAAAGUGUCGGCGGUUGGGGAUGGUCUCGCUGCUUACGAGCUUGUUGGUGGGGUAGUGGCUUACAAAGGCUUUGACGGGUAGGCGGCCUGAGAGGGUGAACGGCCACAUUGGGACUGAGAGAGGGACCAGACUGCUACGGGCGGCAACAGGCGGGAGUCUUGCACAACGGCCGGAAGUCUGUGGCAGAAACGCUGGGUGCGUGAUGCCGUCUUUCGGGGUGUAAACCGCUGUCGCCUGUGACGAAGCCUGCGUGACGGUAAUGGGUAAAGAAGCACCGGCUAACUACGUG